UACGUAGGGUGCAAGCGUUGUCCGGAAUUAUUGGGCGUAAAGAGCGCGCAGGCGGUAUGACAAGUCAGAUGUGAAAGAGGCCGGCUUAACCGGCAAGGGUCAUUUGAAACUGUCAGACUAGAGUGCAGCAGAGGAUAGUGGAAUUCCCGGUGUAGUGGUGAAAUGCGUAGAUAUCGGGAGGAACACCAGUGGCGAAGGCGACUAUCUGGGCUGCAACUGACGCUGAGGCGCGAAAGCGUGGGGAGCAAACAGG
Molecule: ribosomal RNA, 253 nt
Filed under: uncultured bacterium
Lineage: Bacteria
Description: partial 16S ribosomal RNA
Rfam family: Bacterial small subunit ribosomal RNA
Source: RNAcentral